Molecule: ribosomal RNA, 350 nt
Filed under: Stenotrophomonas sp. BL244-3
Lineage: Bacteria; Pseudomonadati; Pseudomonadota; Gammaproteobacteria; Lysobacterales; Lysobacteraceae
Description: bacterial SSU rRNA
Rfam family: Bacterial small subunit ribosomal RNA
Source: RNAcentral
GNCGUCAAGUCAUCAUGGCCCUUACGGCCANGGCUCACACGUACUACAAUGGUAGGGACAGAGGGCUGCAAGCCGGCGACGGUGAGCCAAUCCCAGAAACCCUAUCUCAGUCCGGAUUGGAGUCUGCAACUCGACUCCAUGAAGUCGGAAUCGCUAGUAAUCGCAGAUCAGCAUUGCUGCGGUGAAUACGUUCCCGGGCCUUGUACACACCGCCCGUCACACCAUGGGAGUUUGUUGCACCAGAAGCAGGUAGCUUAACCUUCGGGAGGGCGCUUGCCACGGUGUGGCCGAUGACUGGGGUGAAGUCGUAACAAGGUAGCCGUAUCGGAAGGUGCGGUUGGACAAANCCN